CGUCAAGUCAUCAUGGCCCUUAUGUCCAGGGCUACACACGUGCUACAAUGGCCGGUACAAAGUGAAGCGAGACCGCGAGGUUAAAGCGAAGCACGAAAGCCUGCCGUAGUCCGGAUUGAAGUCUGAAACCCGACUUCAUGAAGUUGGAAUCGCUAGUAAUCGCGCAUCAGCAUGGCGCGGUGAAUACGUUCCCGGGCCUU
This 200-nucleotide ribosomal RNA is filed under the name uncultured prokaryote. Its description in RNAcentral is "partial 16S ribosomal RNA". It matches the Rfam family "Bacterial small subunit ribosomal RNA", at positions 1183 to 1382 of the family's 1533-position model. The record is from RNAcentral.